UAAUACGGGGGGUGCAAGCGUUACUCGGAAUCACUGGGCGUAAAGAGCAUGUAGGCGGAUUAAUAAGUUUGAAGUGAAAUCCUAUAGCUUAACUAUAGAACUGCUUUGAAAACUGUUGAUCUAGAAUGUGGGAGAGGUAGAUGGAAUUUCUGGUGUAGGGGUAAAAUCCGUAGAGAUCAGAAGGAAUACCGAUUGCGAAGGCGAUUUACUGGAACACAAUUGACGCUGAGAUGCGAAAGCGUGGGGAGCAAACAGGAUUAGAUACCCUGGUAGUCCACGCCCUAAACGAUGUACACUAGUUGUUGUGAGACUAGAUCUUGCAGUAAUGCAGUUAACACAUUAAGUGUACCGCCUGGGGAGUACGGUCGCAAGAUUAAAACUCAAAGGAAUAGACGGGGACCCGCACAAGCGGUGGAGCAUGUGGUUUAAUUCGACGAUACACGAAGAACCUUACCUGGACUUGACAUAGUAAGAACUUUCUAGAGAUAGAUUGGUGUCUGCUUGCAGAAACUUAUAUACAGGUGCUGCACGGCUGUCGUCAGCUCGUGUCGUGAGAUGUUGGGUUAAGUCCCGCAACGAGCGCAACCCUCGUGUUUAGUUCUAACAGUUCGGCUGAGAACUCUAAACAGACUGCCUACGCAAGUAGGAGGAAGGUGAGGACGACGUCAAGUCAUCAUGGCCCUUACGUCCAGGGCUACACACGUGCUACAAUGGGAUAUACAAAGAGCGGCAAUACGGUGACGUGGAGCAAAUCUUAUAAAAUAUCUCCCAGUUCGGAUUGUAGUCUGCAACUCGACUACAUGAAGUUGGAAUCGCUAGUAAUCGUAGAUCAGCUAUGCUACGGUGAAUACGUUCCCGGGUCUUGUACUCACCGCCCGUCACACCAUGGGAGUCGAACUCAUUCGAAGCGGGGAUGCUAAAGUAGCUACCUUUCACAGUGGAUUUGGCGACUGGGGUG
RNAcentral lists this ribosomal RNA (958 nucleotides) under uncultured bacterium. RNAcentral's name for it is "bacterial SSU rRNA". It matches the Rfam family "Bacterial small subunit ribosomal RNA", at positions 521 to 1482 of the family's 1533-position model. The record is from RNAcentral.